Molecule: long non-coding RNA, 502 nt
Organism: Grus americana (Whooping crane)
Lineage: Eukaryota; Metazoa; Chordata; Aves; Gruiformes; Gruidae
Exons: 5
Source: RefSeq, a predicted model, not a curated record
GAGGACCCCUCUGCGGUGGCUGCGGUGGUGCGUGAUGCGGUUCCAGCCCGUGGCAGAGCUGGAGCGACGAGAUCCCGGUUUCCAGCAGGUGUGUUUGUUGCUGGUGAAGCAAACGGCCGUAUCUCCGGCCGGCUGUGACCAAGCACUGAGCCACGGAGACGUGACCCCGAGAUGCAGCAGUUGGUGCUUCUGAGAACGAACUAAAACCUGACUCGAGCCAACUGGGAAUGUAAACCGCACUGACCAAGGAAAGUUGGGGAAAUUGCCAGUGAAUGCAGAAAAAAAGAAAAGGAAGGAAGAUGUGGAAAGCAGGAGUUUAUAGAGUGUUGCUGAAGACCUUCUCCCAGGCUAAAAUGACGAUCAGUUCCAGGUUUGGAGUCAUAUCAACAGUAGAUAAUUUAGCCACCCUUGAGGAUGAAGAGCCUUUCCAGCGUACUUCCCCUGGCGCAAUUCAGGUGGAGAAGGAAGAGCGCAGGCCAGUCGGAUGGGCACCGGGCAGGCC